This is a long non-coding RNA of Ipomoea nil (Japanese morning glory), 99 nucleotides long. RefSeq lists it as uncharacterized. The transcript is spliced from 3 exons. NCBI's taxonomy places the organism in Eukaryota, Viridiplantae, Streptophyta, Magnoliopsida, Solanales, Convolvulaceae. The record is from RefSeq and is a predicted model, not a curated record.
UUUAUGAGGUUCAGAAUAUAAAAAGAAUUUUAAAAAACAUAGAACACGGUUAUAUUCACCGUACGAUAAAGAAACAACGUGACACUUUUUGCGCGCUUA